Molecule: ribosomal RNA, 420 nt
Filed under: Triticum aestivum (bread wheat)
Lineage: Eukaryota; Viridiplantae; Streptophyta; Magnoliopsida; Poales; Poaceae
Description: partial small subunit ribosomal RNA
Source: RNAcentral
CUAGUACCGAAAAUAGCCGACUUUGGUCUGUCAAAGUGCUUCACUGAAGACCAAAGCCAGAUUAACAUUUCACAACUUGCUGGAACACCAGGUUAUUUGGCACCAGAAUUCUACGGUGGAAAAAUCACACCCAAGGUGGACAUAUAUAGUCUUGGUAUUAUAAUUGCAGAGAUGCUAACAGGACAAAAGGGAUACACCAAAAUGGAGAAGAUACUUGAAAGUUGGAGUUAUAGAUUGGACAAAUCAAAUGGGGAAACUCAGUUGGAACAAGUACGAGUGUGCGCAGAGGUAGGGAAAGAAUGCACUGAAUAUAACCCAGCGAUACGACCAGAUCCAGGGAGUAUUAUCAAGAGGCUUGAAGAAACAGAAAGCAUGAUUGGGUUCACUGAAAAUGUCGUGAGUAGUUCAUUCGUGAAGUAG